RNAcentral lists this unclassified non-coding RNA (192 nucleotides) under uncultured Dothideales. RNAcentral's name for it is "sequence contains ITS1". Lineage: Eukaryota; Fungi; Ascomycota; Dothideomycetes; Dothideales. The record is from RNAcentral.
AUGAGUUAGGGUCUCCGGGCCCGAACCUCCAACCCUUUGUCGUCACAAAACCACUUUGUUGCUUUGGCGGGACCGCCGGCCCCCCUUCGCGGGGGGGCGGGCUGCCGGUCUCAGGCCCGGCAUGCGCCCGCCAGAGGAAAACCAAACUCUUGUUUUAACCGUACGUCCGAGUAAAAAUGAUUAAAUCAAUCA